RNAcentral lists this long non-coding RNA (263 nucleotides) under Homo sapiens (human). RNAcentral describes it as "HSALNT0359997". The record is from RNAcentral. Lineage: Eukaryota; Metazoa; Chordata; Mammalia; Primates; Hominidae.
CUGUAAACAUUCAUGCACAGGUUUUUAUGUGAACAUAAGUUUUCAUUUCUCUGUGGAAGACAAAUAGGAACAGGAUUCCUAGUUCAUAUGAAAGGCAAACCACAAAAGACAAAAAGAGAAAGAAGGACCUCCAGAGUGGGAGAAUAACUCCUCGCCUGUCAGAACUUAAACGGAGUUCAUCUCAUCAAAUAAUGUUUCCUGAAUCGCUGAGAUCUUUCACAUGAAGAGUGGGUCGCUGUGAUGAGAAAAGAUGUUUAAAGGAG